Molecule: non-coding RNA, 65 nt
Organism: Eimeria praecox
Lineage: Eukaryota; Apicomplexa; Conoidasida; Eucoccidiorida; Eimeriidae
Source: Rfam
GGCAACGUGGCCGAGUGGUUAAGGCGGUGCCCUGCUAAGGCAUUGGGUUCUGCCCGCGUAGGUUC